RNAcentral lists this long non-coding RNA (253 nucleotides) under Elaeis guineensis (African oil palm). RNAcentral's name for it is "long non-coding RNA (EGUI_LNC020703)". Lineage: Eukaryota; Viridiplantae; Streptophyta; Magnoliopsida; Arecales; Arecaceae. The record is from RNAcentral.
AGGGACCUCAUCUCAACGAGGAAGAAAAUCCUUGUCAAAAAUUUCCAGUCCCUAAGGGGAAACCCAACACUAGUAGGAGAAAAUAGACCUCCUCAAAGUAACGAGAAGUUCGGACCCCAAGCUCGAACAUCGGAAAGUGUUAAACUUGAGUGGUCUCGAAAAGAUCUUUGGUCAUGAACAAAAAGGAUGAGUCAACACAGCGAUGAUCAGGAACCUUCAAACAACGUCGACAUCAAAGAAGACAAAAGACAAG